AGGGCACCACCAGGAGUGGAGCCUGCGGCUUAAUUUGACUCAACACGGGGAAACUCACCCGGCCCGGACACUGGAAGGAUUGACAGAUUGAGAGCUCUUUCUUGAUUCAGUGGGUGGUGGUGCAUGGCCGUUCUUAGUUGGUGGAGCGAUUUGUCUGGUUAAUUCCGAUAACGAACGAGACUCUAGCCUAUUAAAUAGGCUGCCGGCUUUUAAACCCCGAUCGGACUUCAGGUUGACUUCGGUGGGCUUGUUCCCCUCUGAAGAAGAAGGAAAUGCUGUUUGUAAGGACAUGUGGUGGUUCGGGCCGCACAAACACAACAAUAAAAAGAUUGUGAUGCUUUAAGUUCCUGCGGGCCGGGAGUGGCUAAACUGAAGAAAUCUCCUCGCGUGUAUAAUAUGCUAUUCAACUAUUCUGGCUAAACCAGAAUUCUUCUUCGUGCAAGUCAUAAUCAUUUUUUUAUUUCGUCUUGCCCUUUAAUUCAAGUAAGCUCAUGUCUUAAGCAUGAAUUACUUAAUUCG
This 519-nucleotide ribosomal RNA is filed under the name uncultured eukaryote. RNAcentral describes it as "bacterial SSU rRNA". It matches the Rfam family "Eukaryotic small subunit ribosomal RNA", at positions 1161 to 1652 of the family's 1831-position model. The record is from RNAcentral.